This 325-nucleotide ribosomal RNA is filed under the name uncultured eukaryote. RNAcentral describes it as "partial 18S ribosomal RNA". It matches the Rfam family "Eukaryotic small subunit ribosomal RNA", at positions 1470 to 1796 of the family's 1831-position model. The record is from RNAcentral.
CCCUUAGAUGUUCUGGGCCGCACGCGCGCUACACUGAUGCAUUCAACGAGUCUAAAACCUGCUCUGAUAGGGGUGGGUAACCUUUUGAAAGUGCAUCGUGAUAGGGAUAGACUAUUGCAAUUAUUGGUCUUCAACGAGGAAUUCCUAGUAGACGUAGUUCAUCAGACUGCAUCGAUUACGUCCCUGCCCUUUGUACACACCGCCCGUCGCUCCUACCGAUUGAAUGCUCAGGUGAGCCAUUCGGACUUUCAUCAUGCUGGUUUCCAGUUUUGAUGAAGGAAAGUCUUGCGAACCUUAUCAUUUAGAGGAAGGAGAAGUCGUAACA